CUUGAACAAGUCAAAUGUAACCCAGAUCCCGCUUAAAUUCCAAGCACAGACGCACUUUUUUCUUUUUUUUUUUAAUACAAACAAUAUAAAUAUUUUCUGCAUAUAUACAUAUAUAUAUGAUGCAAGCGUAUAUAUAGUUAUAUGCGUUAUAGAUAGAUAUAUCUCUGCUUUGCUUUAGAAUUGUUGAAGAUGAGUGGAGCUGGGGAAUCGUUUCAUUCUCCAACAACUAGGGACCUAUUGGCCGACGCUGUUGCUGGAGCUUCAGCUGGCGCAAUUGCAGCGAUUUUUGUGUGCCCUUUGGAUGUGAUCAAGACGAGAUUACAAGUACAUGGUCUCCCUCAAGGUUCACAGACCAGUCGUAGAGGUAGUGUCAUUAUUACAAGUCUACAGCACAUAUUAAAGAAUGAAGGCUUCAAGGGAAUGUAUCAUGGCCUCUCGCCAACGAUACUGGCAUUACUUCCAAAUUGGGCUGUAUACUUCACAGUUUACGGGCAACUUAAAGGCCUACUCCAUUCACAUGGGGAUAGCAAUAAUCGGCUCACACUAGGAAACAAUAUGAUAGCUGCUGCUGGUGCUGGGGCUGCCACAGCCAUCACGACAAAUCCAUUGUGGGUUGUUAAGACCAGACUCCAAACUCAGGGAACGAGGCCGGAUAUAGUUCCAUACAAAAGCAUACUUUCUGCUUUGAGAAGGAUUACACACGAAGAAGGGAUUUGUGGUUUGUAUAGUGGUAUUCUGCCUUCAUUGGCUGGGAUUAGUCAUGUUGCUAUUCAGUUUCCCACGUAUGAGAGAAUCAAGUUGUUCAUGGCGGAAAAAAAUGAUAAAGAGAUUGAUAAGCUAAGACCUGGGAGUGUAGCAAUUGCCUCCUCAGUUUCCAAAGUACUUGCUUCUGUGAUGACUUAUCCACAUGAGGUUGUCCGUUCAAGGCUGCAAGAGCAAGGGCAGAACAGAAAGGUUGGGAUGCAAUAUGCAGGAGUUGUUGAUUGCAUCAAGAAGGUUUUCCAAAAGGAGGGUCUUCUGGGUUUUUACCGAGGCUGUGCGACAAACCUAUUAAGAACAACUCCAUCCACCGUUAUUACAUUUACCAGUUAUGAGAUGAUAAAAAGGUUCUUGCAUCAAGUUCUACCCCUGGAUAAAGAGCAUUCACAAAAGCAUGCUAAACCUGAUGGGAACAUCGAGCCUUAGCAGAAAAACACAAGAGCUGGGGACAUAGAAAAUGAUGCCACUUUGUGACAAUCACAAAUCCAAUCAAAUAAGAUUACUCCCUCUAUUCCUCUGGGAAACAAGGAUCAGCUAACAGCAAGACAGUGAUUCAUUUUGUUGAAGAAAUCUUCCAUUAAAAAAAAGUUGAACGGCAUAAAUCAACUUUAAGAUUUUUUAUGCUCAGAAAGAGGGGUAUCUGCAUAAGUUUUGUGGCUCAUCAAGCACUAGAUGGCCUAGAAUAAUGAUGGUUUUUGCUUUUCAUUCAAAUGCCAAAGCAAGCUGAUACUUGAAUGCUUUUUUCAUCUUUGACUUUUUCAUGAAUCAUGUGUUUGGUUGGUCCCGCAGAUAACCCAAGUCCCAGUCCAAAGCACUCUUAGAAAAUUUUCCACUCCAAGCAAAGCACCCGGCGUCACAAUCCCUCGUGCCAACAUCUCCCAUAUCUAUAUCAACCCAAUUUCCUCCAUUCAAUGAGUUGAUUUCACAGGGAAAGAUUCGAACGAGACAAGAUUCUAGGUAGACUUAAAUCACCUUGAAUUCUGUAAAGGGUUGUUUGAAUUGAAGAUGGUAUGUGAUUUUUCAAAGAAAUAUGUGAUGGGUCUAAUCUUGUAACUUGUGUUAUAGACCUUUCUAAAUACAGUUAAAUAAAGGCCAAAGGACUAGUUGACACCAA
Molecule: RNA transcript, 1873 nt
Organism: Mangifera indica (mango)
Lineage: Eukaryota; Viridiplantae; Streptophyta; Magnoliopsida; Sapindales; Anacardiaceae
Gene name: nicotinamide adenine dinucleotide transporter 2, mitochondrial-like
Exons: 10
Source: RefSeq, a predicted model, not a curated record